GACGAACGCUGGCGGCGUGCUUAACACAUGCAAGUCGAACGGAAAGGCCCCCUUGUGGGGUACUCGAGUGGCGAACGGGUGAGUAACACGUGAGUAACCUACCCUUGACUUUGGGAUAACUUCAGGAAACUGGGGCUAAUACCGGAUAGGAGCUCCUGCUGCAUGGUGGGGGUUGGAAAGUUUCGGCGGUUGGGGAUGGACUCGCGGCUUAUCAGCCUGUUGGUGGGGUAGUGGCUCACCAAGGCUUUGACGGGUAGCCGGCCUGAGAGGGUGACCGGCCACAUUGGGACUGAGAGACGGCCCAGACUCCUACGGGAGGCAGCAGUGGGGAAUAUUGCACAAUGGGCGGAAGCCUGAUGCAGCAACGCCGCGUGCGGGAUGACGGCCUUCGGGUUGUAAACCGCUUUCGCCUGUGACGAAGCGUGAGUGACGGUAAUGGGUAAAGAAGCACCGGCUAACUACGUG
RNAcentral lists this ribosomal RNA (465 nucleotides) under uncultured bacterium. Its description in RNAcentral is "partial 16S ribosomal RNA". It matches the Rfam family "Bacterial small subunit ribosomal RNA", at positions 28 to 507 of the family's 1533-position model. The record is from RNAcentral.